This 468-nucleotide ribosomal RNA is filed under the name uncultured bacterium. Its description in RNAcentral is "partial 16S ribosomal RNA". It matches the Rfam family "Bacterial small subunit ribosomal RNA", at positions 28 to 507 of the family's 1533-position model. The record is from RNAcentral.
GAUGAACGCUGACAGAAUGCUUAACACAUGCAAGUCAACUUGAAUUUGGGUUUUUAACUUAGGUUUGGGUGGCGGACGGGUGAGUAACGCGUAAAGAACUUGCCUCACAGCUAGGGACAACAUUUGGAAACGAAUGCUAAUACCUAAUAUUAUGAUAAUAGGGCAUCCUAUAAUUAUGAAAGCUAUAAGCGCUGUGAGAGAGCUUUGCGUCCCAUUAGCUAGUUGGAGAGGUAACGGCUCACCAAGGCGAUGAUGGGUAGCCGGCCUGAGAGGGUGAUCGGCCACAAAGGGGCUAGAGAACCGCCCCUCACCCCUCCGGGGGGAAGGGGGGGGAAAUUUGGAAAAAGGGACCGAGUGUCUGACCAAGAUUUUGUGUGUGCAAGAUGAUUUUUUGCGGAAUGAAAAGUGUUUUCGGUGGGAAAAAACAAAAGGACGGUACAAAAAAAAGAAGUGAGGGCUAAAUACGUG